Gossypium arboreum is the source of this 1930-nucleotide long non-coding RNA. RefSeq lists it as uncharacterized. The record is from RefSeq and is a predicted model, not a curated record. NCBI's taxonomy places the organism in Eukaryota, Viridiplantae, Streptophyta, Magnoliopsida, Malvales, Malvaceae. The transcript is spliced from 2 exons.
ACAAGGACUAAUGGCAAAAUUUAACCAAUUUUUUCACUAUCAUUUUUUUUCUUUGGUUUUGUUCCCUCUUUCUCUCGUUGCGUUUCUUUCUCCCUUCCCUUCACCCAUGUCCCCAGACUCUCAUUUUAAAGCCUCCAUGUCUACCUUAGUGAUCUAUUGUCUGGAGAUGGUUCUGCAAGCAUAGCUCACGUGGCAGCUUAGGAUUUUGAUUGUACGAGUUGUGCUUCUUCUAUAUAAGAAACAAGGGGUUUGUUGUGGGUUAGAGGUGAGUGGUCUAGCCUAUGUGGUGUUAGUUGAGAUUCCAGGAAUGAACCGCGUAGCAUCCCAUCCCAUGCACCAUUUCAGCACUCUCCCCCAAAUUCCUUCUAUUCAUUUUCCUAAACCGUGUAGGCUCCGUGUUUAACAGCGUUUUCCUCUCUUAUAAAUUGCCUCACAGCCAAAACCCAAAGAAGAAGAGAGAUUAAUAAAAGAAACCCAGAAGCCAAGGAAAGCAUUAGAGAAGCGCAUGGCAAGUUAGACAAACUUCGAAGUCAAUCCUUAUCAAUCUCAAUCUACUUUAGAUAUUUGCUGGAAUUUGUUCUCUAAUUCAAAUCCAAGCAGCAGCAUUAUUACUAUUAUUUUUAUUGCCUUCAAUUUCUUUCUCUAACUUGUCUUCGCCCUUCUCUCAUUCUUAUCUUUGGACUUUGGUUCCUUUCCUUCUGUUCAAUAAUCCAUGUUAUACCUACACCUACAUACACCAAUAUCCAAUUAAGGUCUAAUAAAUGCUUAGAACAGCUCCAUGAAAUAUGAGACAUCACAACAGGCCAACCAGUAGAUCUGGGCACAAACAGGCAGCUGAAGAUCUACUAUAGAUACUAAUUCAGGCAUCUUGAAGCACAAAGUCCGAUGCUUUUUAAUUUUCUUUGCCUUGCAGAUCACCCGGUUAAAAGACCCAAUCCAUCAGUCAGCCUAGCUCGCCACAUAGAGACACCAACAAGAAAGUCAAGAAAGAUUAGAUCUAACUCAUGCUCCAAGUUUUAAGUGUGACCGAGAAAAAAAUAUUGAUUGUUGCUUAGAAAGAAUGGAAGCCAUAAGUUAGUCAGGAGGUGGAAUAAAAAGGUAUCCAAAAGUUGUUAGAAGUAGCGGAAUCCGUAGUUAAACUUGAUUUAGGAAAAGAUAAACUUUAGCCUUCCAAAUUCGAAAGAAGGGGCGAAUGUGAAAAUGAUCACAAUGAAAACAAUGACGAUGGCAAUGGCAACAGUUACAAUUGUGGUAAUGGAAAACCACGAGUUAGAAAGAAAAAAUCCAAGAGGAAAAGGGACAAAUUGAAAUUUUUUCUCUACGACGGUCCACACAUGUUAAAGAAAUAUUUGAAGAAAUCCGCGCUUAAAAAAAAACCCGGUUAGUAAGUCCUUGGUACUUGGUUCAAGCCUGUUGAAGCUAAGGAAGCUGAAAGCGAGAAAAAGCUAAUAAAGUGCUUCUUGUGUCAUGUUCCGCAUAAGUUGCAGAACUGUUCGAGGAAGUCUAUCAUCGAAGGAAACGAUAGAGCAGACAAUGAGCUUAAGAAGUUUAGUUCAAGUAAGAAAAAAGCCGAAACGAAGAGAGGAAAGAGAAGAAAAAAGAAACAAGUAAAGUAAUAAAUCCUAAAAAAAUCUGAUUCAGCGGAGUGAGAGCGAAAACUUUAUGAAAACUUCUAGUCUCAGGAAAGAAGUUGAGGGCUGCAGACAGGGGUACAUAAAGUGAGCUAGAAAAUACUAGCCAGAGCCUGUAAAAGAUUACAUAGCAGCCGAUGAGAUGAAAGUUUGUUUUUCAAUUCAUAAAAUGUCCAAAGCUGUAACUAUAUAAUAACGUGGGGGACACUUAUUUCUUUUUGUCUCUUAGUAACUGCUUAUCAGAGAGCACUUUAUUGUUCUUUUCCAAUUAUAUAUGCAUAGAUUUAUAUUAUAUGAAA